This 250-nucleotide ribosomal RNA is filed under the name uncultured bacterium. RNAcentral's name for it is "partial 16S ribosomal RNA". It matches the Rfam family "Bacterial small subunit ribosomal RNA", at positions 779 to 1032 of the family's 1533-position model. The record is from RNAcentral.
UAGAUACCCUGGUAGUCCACGCCGUAAACGAUGAGCACUAGGUGUUGGGCCCGUUAGGGCUCAGUGCCGCAGUUAACGCAAUAAGUGCUCCGCCUGGGGAGUACGCUCGCAAGAGUAAAACUCAAAGGAAUUGACGGGGACCCGCACAAGCAGCGGAGCAUGUGGUUUAAUUCGAAGCAACGCGAAGAACCUUACCAGGGCUUGACAUCCUGCUGACAGGACCUUAACCGGUCCCUUCUUCGGACAGCAG